Molecule: non-coding RNA, 543 nt
Organism: Melozone crissalis (California towhee)
Lineage: Eukaryota; Metazoa; Chordata; Aves; Passeriformes; Passerellidae
Source: the annotation of a RefSeq genome assembly
AUGUACUGGAUCCCCCAGAGCCCCGGUCAGGGACUGGAUCGGCUCAUGGGGAUCACCAACACUGUUGGCAGAACCUACUACGCGCCAUCGGUCAAGGGCCAGUUCAAAAUCUCCAGGGAACACGGGCAGAGCUCGCGGGCGGCCGUGACCCUGCUGGAGUGUGGGGGGGACCUCCAGCCCGCCGGGGGGUCCCUGCGCCUCUUCUGCCGAGGGUCCGGGUUCAGUUUUGGGAAUUUUGACAUGUACUGGAUCCGCCAGAGACCCGGGCAGGGGCUGGAGUGGCUCGCAGGCAUCUACAGCAGUUGUUCCAGCACCGCCUAUGCGCCAUCGGUCAAGGGCCGGUUCAGGAUCUCCAGGGACAACGGGCAGAGCUCGGUGACGCUGACCAUGAACAACCUCAAGGACGAGGAUUCCGCCACCUAUUUCUGUGCCAAGAGUGUUCGUGCUGGUGCUGGUGCUAAUACUGCGAGAGAUUUGGGGGAAAACUGGACAAGUCUGGGGGCAAUGGUUGGGAUUGGAGGGACGAGGCCGAGCUCAGAGUGA